Molecule: ribosomal RNA, 460 nt
Filed under: uncultured bacterium
Lineage: Bacteria
Description: partial 16S ribosomal RNA
Rfam family: Bacterial small subunit ribosomal RNA
Source: RNAcentral
CCUACGGGGAGCAGCAGUGAGGAAUAUUGGUCAAUGGGCGCAAGCCUGAACCAGCCAAGUCGCGUGAGGGAUGACGGUCCUAUGGAUUGUAAACCUCUUUUGUCGGGGAGCAAGGCCCGCCACGUGUGGCGGGAAGGAUAGUACCCGAAGAAAAAGCAUCGGCUAACUCCGUGCCAGCAGCCGCGGUAAUACGGGGGAUGCGAGCGUUAUCCGGAUUUAUUGGGUUUAAAGGGUGCGUAGGCGGAAGGUUAAGUCAGCGGUAAAAUGUCGGUGCUCAACACCGGCCUGCCGUUGAAACUGGUCUUCUUGAGUGAGCGAGAAGUAUGCGGAAUGCGUGGUGUAGCGGUGAAAUGCAUAGAUAUCACGCAGAACUCCGAUUGCGAAGGCAGCAUACCGGCGCUCAACUGACGCUGAGGCACGAAAGCGUGGGGAUCGAACAGGAUUAGAGACCCGGGUAGUC